This 203-nucleotide long non-coding RNA is filed under the name Phoenix dactylifera (date palm). Its description in RNAcentral is "long non-coding RNA (PDAC_LNC013820)". Lineage: Eukaryota; Viridiplantae; Streptophyta; Magnoliopsida; Arecales; Arecaceae. The record is from RNAcentral.
CGACCGGUGUUAGUGAAGGCGCAACUCUAUUUCCUUAAACCCCACCAAAGGCAGCGCCACGAGUUGACUCCGACCAAGGCCUCGCCCAACUCCGGACUCCGACCUGGCCUCGCCAUGGGUUCAGGGACCCCUCAGGUAUAACCCACCUACUAACCAGGCCAUCGCCGUUGGCAGGCGGCAGGACAUGCUGACAGUGACCCUCC